RNAcentral lists this ribosomal RNA (587 nucleotides) under Pedobacter sp. BvORHM072. Its description in RNAcentral is "bacterial SSU rRNA". It matches the Rfam family "Bacterial small subunit ribosomal RNA", at positions 102 to 687 of the family's 1533-position model. Lineage: Bacteria; Pseudomonadati; Bacteroidota; Sphingobacteriia; Sphingobacteriales; Sphingobacteriaceae. The record is from RNAcentral.
ACGGGUGCGUAACGCGUAUGCAACCUACCUUAAUCAGGGGGAUAGCCCGAAGAAAUUCGGAUUAACACCGCAUAAAAACACAGGAUAGCAUUAUCCAAUGUUCAAAUAUUUAUAGGAUUAAGAUGGGCAUGCGUGUCAUUAGCUAGUUGGCGGGGUAACGGCCCACCAAGGCGACGAUGACUAGGGGAUCUGAGAGGAUGACCCCCCACACUGGUACUGAGACACGGACCAGACUCCUACGGGAGGCAGCAGUAAGGAAUAUUGGUCAAUGGAGGCAACUCUGAACCAGCCAUGCCGCGUGCAGGAAGACUGCCCUAUGGGUUGUAAACUGCUUUUAUCCGGGAAUAAACCUUUCUACGUGUAGAGAGCUGAAUGUACCGGAAGAAUAAGGAUCGGCUAACUCCGUGCCAGCAGCCGCGGUAAUACGGAGGAUCCAAGCGUUAUCCGGAUUUAUUGGGUUUAAAGGGUGCGUAGGCGGCCUGUUAAGUCAGAGGUGAAAGACGGUAGCUCAACUAUCGCAGUGCCUUUGAUACUGAUGGGCUUGAAUGAACUAGAGGUAGGCGGAAUGAGACAAGUAGCGGUGAAAU